Molecule: ribosomal RNA, 674 nt
Filed under: Vairimorpha ceranae
Lineage: Eukaryota; Fungi; Microsporidia; Nosematidae
Description: SSU rRNA
Rfam family: Microsporidia small subunit ribosomal RNA
Source: RNAcentral
GUAUAUGAGGUGAUCAAUUGGAGGGCAAAUCAAGUGCCAGCAGCCGCGGUAAUACUUGUUCCAAGAGUGUGUAUGAUGAUUGAUGCAGUUAAAAAGUCCGUAGUUUAUUUUUUUAAGAAGCAAUAUGAGGUGUACUGUAUAGUUGGGAGAAAGAUGAAAUGUGACGACCCUGACUGGACGAACAGAAGCGAAAGCUGUACACUUGUAUGUAUUUUUUGAACAAGGACGUAAGCUGGAGGAGCGAAGAUGAUUAGAUACCAUUGUAGUUCCAGCAGUAAACUAUGCCGACGAUGUGAUAUGAAAAUGUUAAUUUGUAUUACAUAAUAGAAAUUUGAGUUUUUUGGCUCUGGGGAUAGUAUGAUCGCAAGAUUGAAAAUUAAAGAAAUUGACGGAAGAAUACCACAAGGAGUGGAUUGUGCGGCUUAAUUUGACUCAACGCGAGGUAACUUACCAAUAUUUUAUUAUUUUGAGAGAACGGUUUUUUGUUUGAGAAUGAUAAUAGUGGUGCAUGGCCGUUUUCAAUGGAUGCUGUGAAGUUUUGAUUAAUUUCAACAAGACGUGAGACCCUUAUUUUUCAUUAAAGACAGACACAAUCAGUGUAGGAUGGAAAGGAUUAAAACAGGUCCGUUAUGCCCUCUGACAUUUUGGGCUGCACGCGCAAUACAAUAGAUAUA